AGUGAACGCUGGCGGUAGGCCUAACACAUGCAAGUCGAACGGCAGCACAGGAGAGCUUGCUCUCUGGGUGGCGAGUGGCGGACGGGUGAGGAAUACAUCGGAAUCUACUCUGUCGUGGGGCAACGUAGGGAAACUUACGCUAAUACCGCAUACGACCUACGGGUGAAAGCAGGGGACCUUCGGGCCUUGCGCGAUUGAAUGAGCCGAUGUCGGAUUAGCUAGUUGGCGGGGUAAAGGCCCACCAAGGCGACGAUCCGUAGCUGGUCUGAGAGGAUGAUCAGCCACACUGGAACUGAGACACGGUCCAGACUCCUACGGGAGGCAGCAGUGGGGAAUAUUGGACAAUGGGCGCAAGCCUGAUCCAGCCAUACCGCGUGGGUGAAGAAGGCCUUCGGGUUGUAAAGCCCUUUUGUUGGGAAAGAAAUCCAGCUGGCUAAUACCCGGUUGGGAUGACGGUACCCAAAGAAUAAGCACCGGCUAACUUCGUGCCAGCAGCCGCCGUAA
Molecule: ribosomal RNA, 504 nt
Filed under: uncultured bacterium
Lineage: Bacteria
Description: partial 16S ribosomal RNA
Rfam family: Bacterial small subunit ribosomal RNA
Source: RNAcentral